Molecule: long non-coding RNA, 824 nt
Organism: Hipposideros armiger (great roundleaf bat)
Lineage: Eukaryota; Metazoa; Chordata; Mammalia; Chiroptera; Hipposideridae
Exons: 6
Source: RefSeq, a predicted model, not a curated record
GUCAAGAUAAUUACUUCUCUACCAGAUGAUAAGAUGUCCUCCGCUCCAAGAACCUGUGUGGGAAUGGAGGCAUGCAGAUGUCUACCCACUUGGAUUAAACAGAAAGCUGCGGGCCGCUGGUGUGGAGACCUCGGGAAGCUGGACCUGAGGAGAGGAUGAACCCAGUCUGCCUUCUCUGCACCCCAGAACGGAGGCGGACGUCAGCACCGAGACAGAACCAAUCGACUUUGCAUGAAAUGGUCCGAUCAUGAAGUGUUGCUGUGAAGCCAGAAACAGUAAUUGCAAAGGAGAAGUCCACUCCCUGUUGGCAGGAUCAGGCAAUGCUGCCAUGUCCCACUCUGUUCUCUGACGUGAACGCUCUCUGUCCCAGGGAAGCCUGCGCUGUGCUGGAGCCCUGUCUGCAAGCCGUUUCCACGGAAAUCUGCACAGCAGACCUAGCUCGGAUCUUCCUCCAAGUGAAUCCCAGGAAAAUGCUGCAGCGACUGAUAAAGCCCACGGAGGAGGAAAGAUGGCGGCAGGAGACCUGUGCACAAGACCUGUGCAGCAGCUCAGCUCACCGUAGGAGCAGAACCGUCUAGACUGCUGCUCUGGGACGGAAAAACAGAAACCUCGGAAAAGGAGUGCCGUCUUACCAAUGAGCUGCUAAACCAGGAAGAAGUGAACCUGGGGUGCCAUUUUGGUUGCCUUGUAGAGAUCCCGACUGCGGCCUGGUUCCAAGCGGAGCAGCAGAACCGAGCGUGAGUCCUGGUGGCCCUGACCUGCUCACCCAGCACCCAGGACUCGGGUCCCUCAGUUCUCCCAGGAUUCUGAGCCACUUCAGUGUC